UAAUACAGAGGGUGCAAGCGUUGUUCGGAAUUAUUGGGCGUAAAGGGAGUGUAGGCUGUUUGUUAAGUCUUCUGUGAAAUCUACGGGCUUAGCCUGUAACGUGCAGAGGAAACUGGCAGACUUGAGUGUCGGAGAGGGCAGGGGAAUACCCAGUGUAGAGGUGAAAUUCGUAGAGAUUGGGUGGAACACCAGUGGCGAAGGCGCCUGCCUGGCUGACAACUGACGCUGAGACUCGAAAGCAUGGGGAGCAAACAGGAUUAGAUACCCUGGUAGUCCAUGCCGUAAACGAUGAUAGCUAGAUGUGUGCGGUAUUGACCCCGUACGUGUCGAAGCCAACGCGAUAAGCUAUCCGCCUGGGGAGUACGGUCGCAAGAUUAAAACUCAAAUGAAUUGACGG
This 397-nucleotide ribosomal RNA is filed under the name uncultured bacterium. RNAcentral describes it as "bacterial SSU rRNA". It matches the Rfam family "Bacterial small subunit ribosomal RNA", at positions 521 to 916 of the family's 1533-position model. The record is from RNAcentral.